UAUUUCCAAGAAAUCAAUAUGAUAAAUAUAGUUAUUACAUACAUUCUACAAGUGGGUGUUACAUAAUAACUUCCUCAGAGUCACACAUUUAAUAAAUGUUGGAUCCAGGAUUUGAAACCAAGUUUGCCUGAUUGCUGAUCUGAAGUUCUUAGCCAACGUUAAAGUGUUGUUGCUUUCUGGGAGGGAGGGAGGAGCCAGAGAAAAAUGGUGCCAUCAUAGAAAGGAACUGAAAAGACUCUGCCUUCAUCAUUCAGACGUUGGGCUGCCUGCCAACAGCCGACCUCAGGGAAUCAAGAAAACUGAAUUUACAGAGGAAGACACUUUGGAGCUGGGUCCCAGAGCAUUCUGCUGAAGAUCUUGCAGAAGCUGUAAAACAAACAGGCGCUUGGCUCAUAAUUUGAGAUGCAAGUAAGAACAACUGUGAAAAGAAGAUUUCAUAAGGAAGGAAUGAAAUGCAAGAAUUUCUGUCCCCAUUGGUCAAAUCCCACUGGAACCAGUAGGAAGAGAGCAAAAUAGAAGAGGAAAGUGAAUCUGGAGGGGCAAAUGGAAGAUAUGUGGCAUGAGAUAUUAGAAGCAUUAUGCCCAGUUAACUAGCCCAACAGUUAAACCACCUGUCACCAUCUACCUGUGCUGCAUCCUCUCUGCUCCAGCCCUUCUUCAAACCCAGAAGCUUCUGCUGGGAAAGAACCUGUUUAGUGUUGCUUAAAAUUGUGCUCAUGCCGGAGAAUGUAAAACAUACUUACAACCUGCAGGUAGGCAAACAGCCUUUUG
Molecule: long non-coding RNA, 771 nt
Organism: Acinonyx jubatus (cheetah)
Lineage: Eukaryota; Metazoa; Chordata; Mammalia; Carnivora; Felidae
Exons: 5
Source: RefSeq, a predicted model, not a curated record